GGUACUUUCUGUUGUCAGGGUAAAAGUUAACCCACGAUAUUUACUCCUUCCCGGACAGGAGGGUGGUUGAUUGAUCUCUCCUGAUUCAUCCUAGUACUUCCGCUUACUCAAAAUCAGAUAUCUUCCAUGAUAGGGAGAUGGUGACUACUGACAGACACCCUCACACAAGCCCGUGGAUAUUUAAUUAGCAUCACAUUGUUGAUCUUAAGAAACAAAGAUAACAAAAGUUUUUGAAGAAACUUCCUGCAUGCCAAUGGGAGGUUGUCCCCAUUUCCCCAUCCCCAACUGAAGAGGACAUAAUGUGUUAACUGCAUCAGGGAAUGCCACCAGGAUGUCAUGCUGGGGAAAUAAUGAAGUAAGUGGCUGCAGUGCAUUGAAACAUCUCUUUAUU
RNAcentral lists this long non-coding RNA (391 nucleotides) under Cricetulus griseus (Chinese hamster). RNAcentral describes it as "lncRNA (ENSCGRG00000025300.1)". Lineage: Eukaryota; Metazoa; Chordata; Mammalia; Rodentia; Cricetidae. The record is from RNAcentral.